This is a long non-coding RNA of Nelumbo nucifera (sacred lotus), 676 nucleotides long. RefSeq lists it as uncharacterized. NCBI's taxonomy places the organism in Eukaryota, Viridiplantae, Streptophyta, Magnoliopsida, Proteales, Nelumbonaceae. The record is from RefSeq and is a predicted model, not a curated record.
ACCACCACUGUUCAUCGUCUUCUUCAUUGAACAACGGCGUCAACUCUCAAUUUUGGUUCCCAUUAAAACUAUUCUCCUUGUUUCUCUCAUUCCCUUCGUUUUUCAUUCUUUUCCCUCACCAUUCUCUUCCUACAUCAUACUAUUCAUCUCUUGCUCUACGAGAAAGGGCAAUCACACGGUGAGAAAGUCCAGCAACAUUUCUCUCCUCUCAUUUGUUUCCUAUAAAUUUCCUUAAGUAUUCCGUCUUCCAAUGUUGGCAAGUCACAAAAAUGUUCAUUAGGUCCUUUGUGCACAGAAGGUGGAAGGAGAUUCGAACCAUUCCAUCAUUGUGCAUCAUAGUCCUUGAUUCGUAUACAUGGAGUAAAUCAAGCUUAUCUGAAUCUCUAAUUCACAUCAUCUAACAAUCGGUCGGGACAUCACCUAGGUUAAUAUGGAGAAGUGCAAGAGAUUGAACAUUGCUUCAUUGAGUUCUCACGCAAGUUGAAGAUCAGCCACAAGGGGGUGUGUCCAAUAAUGAGGGGCAAACUACCUAAGCUGAGCCCAACAAUGAGGGCCAAACUAGAACACUCAGAAAUGCAUCCUACUAAAAGUAUUUAAUAGUUUUGUAUACUUUAAUUUGACAUAAAAAUCCUUAGUUGGUUUAUUGAGUUAUUAUAAUCCAUAUACAUUUUACACA